UCUGGGUGUUACAAGAUGAUUAUCACAGUUCCCCCUUCCCACCUUUGCUCUGGGGAGCGGUAUAUUUUGAGAUGGUCUUUGUUGUACUGUGAUUCAUCUCCAGUACAAUUUGGUUCCGGGACACGAGUGACUGUAUUAGAGGAUUUGUCCAAAAUCACUGCCCCUGAAGUGGCCAUCUUUCCCCCAUCGAAGCAGGAGAUCAAAGAGAAGAGGAAGGCCACCCUGGUGUGCCUGGCCACAGGUUUCUACCCUGACCACAUCAAGCUGGUUUGGCAGGUGAACGGUGUUGAGAGGAAAGAGGGGGUGAGGACGGAUGAAUCUCUACUGGACAAAAACAAAGAAAAAUACUCACUGACCAGCCGCUUGAGGACCUCACACCAGGAAUGGUCCAAUUCCAAGAACAGAUUCCAGUGCUUUGUUGAGUUCUACGGGAAUGAGACAAAAUUAUAUGAUAAAGUCGUCAGUGGUGUAGCUGAUUGCAGCGUCUCAGAAGAGUCGUAUCUGAGAAGUGCCAUGGCAGGCAUGAGUGUGUACGUUCUGCUCAUUUUCAAGAGCAUUUUGUAUGGGGUCUUUGUGAUGGGGCUAAUGCUAAGGAACAAGCAAAUGCAGUAGAAGAAGCUGGCCUGAGGUGGAUGACACAGAUACCUGGAGAAAGAAGGAGCUGCAGCUGCAUUAGUUUUACAAGUCCUGAUUUUUUUUCAGAAACCAGCAAAGCAUAUAGGCUUUUGUUACAAUAGUUGUACAAAGACAGCAGUGUGGGAUUGUCUGGCUGUAUUUGCUUGUUUGAAACAGCAGCUUUUAAUAAACACUUUUGAAAUCCUUAA
Gopherus evgoodei (Goodes thornscrub tortoise) is the source of this 824-nucleotide non-coding RNA. The record is from the annotation of a RefSeq genome assembly. Lineage: Eukaryota; Metazoa; Chordata; Testudines; Testudinidae.